Long non-coding RNA from Pseudophryne corroboree (corroboree frog), 974 nucleotides. RefSeq lists it as uncharacterized. The record is from RefSeq and is a predicted model, not a curated record. The transcript is spliced from 2 exons. NCBI's taxonomy places the organism in Eukaryota, Metazoa, Chordata, Amphibia, Anura, Myobatrachidae.
GACCGUGCACAUAGUAUCCACUAAAAGUAUAUCCAUACCAGAACGCUAUAUUCAGGAAAAAGCACUAUGGCGGUGGAACGCAUACGUCACCAGAAGUUGCAUACGGGCACUGGAACGCAAACCCAGGAAGAGGUCCGAUCGGAGAGCACAAACGCAACCGGAAGCUCAUUAUGGACAUAACACACGCUACCCUAAUAAAUAGAUGAGUGAAUGCCGGGUGGAUGGAUCUGCAAUCCUGAGGAAGCCUUACCAAAGGCGAAACGCGUCGAUCCCAGAUUUCAUCGAUCCUGAACUGUGCCGCUCAGCGCUGAGAACGGCUCGUACAGGAUAUCCGCCAGCGGACCCUGGACUCACCCGUCACAAGGAGCCAGAAUGAAAAGACUGUUGGAAGCUCCCACUCUUGAACAUGCCACUUACAACUGCCCAUGGGAGAAGCAGGCAGUUUACAGGUCAAUGGUAUACCUGCUUCCUUCAAGGACUGGCUUUGGGCCUUACUGAUGGUUAUUGCAAUCUUUUGAAAUCAAAUGGCAUAUCUGUUGGUAUGAGCGGAUGCGGUUGUGCUUUAACAGUGAAUUGUCAUGAAAAGGACAACACUUUUGAAGGCUGAGACGUGAAAAGAAGUAAACUUAGUUUGAAUGUGUUUUACUAAAGGGGGAAAUCUUUGAGAAGGAACACAGAAGUCAUUCACACCUGGAUAACAAUGCAAAUUAGGAGUACAUGAUAUGGCAGCCACCUCCUUAACUCCUGUUGAAAUAAAGAGUCCAUAUACAAUAGCCCUCACCUUUGUAUCAGAACCUGGGGCUUAAGAAAAGUGUCUGUUCAUCAUUGAUUAGUUCCAGGCAUCAAAAAACAGAAGGAGCUCCCUGGAAACUAUCCCUAUGUUAUGAAGAUGAUUAACCUGUAUCACCUAAUUACCUAGACAAAGCUGAGUAUUUACUUUGUUUGUUACUUCUAAUAAAGUUGGUUGGUCUCAA